GGAGGUACUCGAGUCCAGAAAUCUUUGUUGAAAAACUCCAGACUAAGGGACUGCAAAAAGGGUGACGGCGGACAAGGACGCUUUUAACAUUUUGAAGUUCUCUACAUCCAUACCUUACAGCCUGAUUUGUGCGUUUUUCUAGAUACUUUGCGGGGGUUAUAGUGAACUUUAUCCGAAGACGACUGAACUGCCUCGACUUGGAACGUUGUCUUGGAUAAUUGAAAUUGUCCAAGACGGACAGUGGGAAAAAUCCAGCGAGGAGACUGAUAUCGCAGCGUGAUACUGGCGGUUGUCUGUUCUUGCAAACACCACCGUAAACGAUCUAUUACGAAAUAUCGGGCUGCCAGUACUGCGAAAGCAGAGAGUUUGUUGGUCGUCCCAGACCAGCAUAACUUGCCGUUUUCACGCAGUUAACUUUUUACCUUUUCGUGGAUGCGGUGAAGCGGGGUCUCUGGCUCAGCUCACAGGACCAUUCCCAUGGAGAUGAUAGGAUCACUUCCUGUCUCAGGCCAGGUCAUGGAGCUUAUGCUGGACCGGGAGUCCUGUCUGCUCCUCCCCCUUCUUCUCAGACCAGAGCAAGCAGGCCCAUUGCCCUAGCGACUCCACACAGACACAGCGUGUACACAUGCUGCUCCAGAGCCAGUACUGUUCUUCCUUCCGAAAAGUAUGCCUCUCAACUUUGUUCAUUUACACAAUGUCCUUUGUUCACAUUUGCUUAUAAAUGUUCUAAACUCACCAAAAAUGAUAUUUGGUAGCUCCUACCUAUAUAUGUAUAACUUUGAGUUGGAUUGCCUCUGCGCUCGUUAACAUAUUUAGCUAGCAGCCUCAAUGGAAAUUCGCUAUUACUUGCGCUAAUUUUGUUAGCAUUCUGGUAAUGGACACCGAAUGGGCUUUUUUUCGCAUUUUUUGGCCUGUAAUACCAUAAAUCCUGGGAUGAGAUGACAGUAUGACGAAAAUGUGGAUACCGCCCAACCCUAGUGGAAACCCUCAAUGGCGCUGCCCAUGCUAAAAUGUUUUUGGCCACUAGAGUCCUCUAUCAUUCUCUGCUUGCAGAUGACACAUUGCGUCGGAAGUACCAUAGAAUUACUGCCUUUAUAUAUUAUCCACAAUGACUAUAGGCCUGAUUCCACAUUGAACACUGCUUCUCUUCCCUUGAUGACUCACUCUUGCAGGUCUUAAAAGACUGCAGAGGUGUUGGCAUGGUGAUGGUUCCAGCUAUUCAAAUAUGGGAACAAGUGAGAGUUUCUGUGUUAGUGUUUGCUUUUAAUAACAGUAAAAAUAUGUAAUUUGUUUGAUCUAACAAUUGUUUUCUAUAGGUGCAGAUUGCAAGUGUUCAAUGUAUUUUGAAUAUGAUGAAUAAAGGCUAUUCUUCACCACAA
Molecule: long non-coding RNA, 1379 nt
Organism: Salmo salar (Atlantic salmon)
Lineage: Eukaryota; Metazoa; Chordata; Actinopteri; Salmoniformes; Salmonidae
Source: RefSeq, a predicted model, not a curated record